AUUUCGCCGCCCCAAUUUCCCCCCAAAAUCGAAAAUUUCAUGAAAAUCCAUCAAACCCCUCCUUUCCCCAAACCCCAACCCCAACCUCCUCCUCUUGUCCCGUUCCCUCUCCUCCCUGAGCCCGUCCCAAAACCCUAGCAGCCUUAGCGGUCCCCCUCCCUCGACCUCCGCCGGGUUCAGCACCGACCGCCUCCCUCCGACGACCAGCUCUUCCUCUUCCGACGACUCUUCUGGCUCUUUUUCGAGGUUUUCUCCCCCUUGUCGCCUGAUCGCUGAGAUUCCUCCUCCAUUUGAGGAGGAGGAGGAGGACAAGAAGGAGUCGGGGAGCGCAAAUUUUAGAGCGAGAGCCUUUUGGAGCCUGGAAUUCGAAGUGAAAUCUUAACUAGUUCAGUUCACAUGACGGAGCCUCGAGGAUUGGUUUCGCCUUCGAUUUCGUCUUCGACUUCUCGAUCUCGCUUAACAAGGAAGGAGUUCUACUUCUUCGAGGUGGACUCCAGGCUCUCAAAGGACCUCCCUCUGGAUCUGCAGAAGCUCAGAUGCAAGGUCCUUUUGAUUUCUAUAGAAGUGCCAGUCUCAUAGGAAGUACCAGUCUGACCAAUCUGACCAUGGCUACUCAUAUUAGCGUCGGGGUUGAUGUUUGUAUGAGUUAUGAGAGGAGACUCUACUUCAGUCUCCCAAGAGUGCAGCAUGUUCUUCAUGCCAACAGAACAAAAUUGCCUUAUAGGAUGUCAAUGUGCAGUCAGCGAGUAUUCCUAUUUCUUGAAUUCAUAUGACCUUAUCCAUCAUUUUUUAUAACUAUUGUGCGUAAUGUUGUGCGAUGGAGCAUACAGAACCUCUGGUAAAUAAUUUAUGUAAAAGUUUGUAAACAAUUUAUGUAUCUCUUUACUAUUUUGGUGAAUGUAUUAUUUGAAUAUAA
Molecule: RNA transcript, 916 nt
Organism: Asparagus officinalis (garden asparagus)
Lineage: Eukaryota; Viridiplantae; Streptophyta; Magnoliopsida; Asparagales; Asparagaceae
Exons: 5
Source: RefSeq, a predicted model, not a curated record